GACGUAGGGCGCGAGCGUUGUCCGGAAUUAUUGGGCGUAAAGAGCUCGUAGGCGGCUUGUUGCGUCGCCUGUGAAAACCCGCGGCUCAACCGUGUGGCUUGCAGUCGAUCCGGGCAGGCUAGAGUUCGGUAGGGGAGACUGGAAUUCCUGGUGUAGCGGUGAAAUGCGCAGAUAUCAGGAGGAACCCCGGUUGCGAAGGCGGGUCUCUGGGCCGAUACUGACGCUGAGGAGCGAAAGCGUGGGGAGCGAACAGG
RNAcentral lists this ribosomal RNA (254 nucleotides) under uncultured bacterium. RNAcentral's name for it is "partial 16S ribosomal RNA". It matches the Rfam family "Bacterial small subunit ribosomal RNA", at positions 524 to 776 of the family's 1533-position model. The record is from RNAcentral.